UACGUAGGGUGCGAGCGUUAAUCAGAAUUACUGGGCGUAAAGCGUGCGCAGGCGGUGAUGUAAGACAGGUGUGAAAUCCCCGGGCUUAACCUGGGAACUGCAUUUGUGACUGCAUCGCUGGAGUGCGGCAGAGGGGGAUGGAAUUCCGCGUGUAGCAGUGAAAUGCGUAGAUAUGCGGAGGAACACCGAUGGCGAAGGCAAUCCCCUGGGCCUGCACUGACGCUCAUGCACGAAAGCGUGGGGAGCAAACAGG
This 253-nucleotide ribosomal RNA is filed under the name uncultured bacterium. RNAcentral's name for it is "partial 16S ribosomal RNA". It matches the Rfam family "Bacterial small subunit ribosomal RNA", at positions 524 to 776 of the family's 1533-position model. The record is from RNAcentral.